This 466-nucleotide ribosomal RNA is filed under the name uncultured bacterium. Its description in RNAcentral is "partial 16S ribosomal RNA". It matches the Rfam family "Bacterial small subunit ribosomal RNA", at positions 28 to 507 of the family's 1533-position model. The record is from RNAcentral.
GACGAACGCUGGCGGUGUGCUUAACACAUGCAAGUCGAACGGUAAGGCCCUUUCGGGGGUACACGAGCGGCGAACGGGUGAGUAACACGUGAGUAACCUGCCCUCAUCUCUGGGAUAACUGUCGGAAACGGAUUCUAAUUCUUGAUAUGAGCUUGCAAGUCCUCUUGUGGGUUGGAUGGAUUUUUUCGGUUGGGGGUGGACUCGCGGCCUAUCAGCUUGUUGGUGUGGUAGUGGCUCACCAAGGCGUCGUUGGGUAGCCGGCCUGAGAGGGCGACCGGCCACAUUGGGACUGAGAUACGGCCCAAGCUCCUACGGGAGGCAAGAGUGGGGGAUAUUGCACAAUGGACGGGAGUCUGAUGCAGCAACGCCGCGUGCGGGAUGACGGCCUUCGGGUUGUAAACCGCUUUCAAUUGGGGCGGAGCUUUUUGUGACGGUAGCAGGAGAAGAAGCACCGGCUAACUACGUG